CACGUAGGGCGCAAGCGUUGUCCGGAAUUAUUGGGCGUAAAGAGCUCGUAGGCGGUCUGUUACGUCUGCUGUGAAAACUCGGGGCUUAACUCCGGGCCUGCAGUGGGUACGGGCAGACUAGAGUGCGGUAGGGGAGACUGGAAUUCCUGGUGUAGCGGUGAAAUGCGCAGAUAUCGGGAAGAACACCCGUGGCGAAGGCGGUUCUCUGGGACGGUACUGACGCUGAGACGCGAAAGCGUGGGGAGCGAACAGG
This 253-nucleotide ribosomal RNA is filed under the name uncultured bacterium. RNAcentral describes it as "partial 16S ribosomal RNA". It matches the Rfam family "Bacterial small subunit ribosomal RNA", at positions 524 to 776 of the family's 1533-position model. The record is from RNAcentral.